UACGGAGGGUGCAAGCGUUGUCCGGAUUUAUUGGGUUUAAAGGGUGCGUAGGUGGCCCGUUAAGUCCGGGGUGAAAGCCCACUGCUCAACAGUGGAACUGCCCUGGAUACUGACGGGCUUGAGUCCAGACGAGGUUGGCGGAAUGGAUGGUGUAGCGGUGAAAAUGCAUAGAUACCAUCCAGAACCCCCGAUUGCGUAGGCAGCUGACUAGGCUGGUACUGACACUGAGGCACGAAAAGCGUGGGGGGAGCGAAACAGG
This 259-nucleotide ribosomal RNA is filed under the name uncultured bacterium. RNAcentral's name for it is "partial 16S ribosomal RNA". It matches the Rfam family "Bacterial small subunit ribosomal RNA", at positions 524 to 776 of the family's 1533-position model. The record is from RNAcentral.